UAAAUGCCUAUUUUACCUCUGUGCUAUUAGACUAUAUUUAUAAUUCAUGUUUUUGACCUUCAUUCUGCCAAUGCUAUUUCAAAUAAUCGAGCUCGACUGUAUCAGAAAAUCAACAUAAAACCGAAAACAACAGCAAUCAUAAUGGUUUUUCCAUUUUUAAUCAUUAAAGCAAUAAAUUAUACCAUGACAUUUUCAAAAUAAAAUUUUAUGAAAUAAAAAAUCGAUUUAUCAUUUUCACAUAAAUUAUGGAAAAAUUUAAAAAUCCUGAAAAGUUGACAAAAAAAGAGAGUAAGCACGUGAGAAAUGUUAAGUUCUCAAAAGCUUGAAUUUUGUUUUGUUCUUCUUGUUCAACACCAUUCGCCCUCUUUAUGCCAACAAAAAAGUUUAUUUUAAAAGACCACGGUCAAAAUGGGGGGAAAUGAUAAAAUAAUUCCGGAUCCAGCUGUGCUAACGCUUUUUUUUGUAUGCAAUUUAACUAAAAGUCAAGUUGUUUUUGUGUGAUGCCCCUAAAACUGUGCUAAAAAAAUUGCUGACGGAAGUUUGUUUAUAUUUUUUCGUUGUUGGUAUUUUUGUUGACGGAUGAACUAAUGGUUUUUGCAUAAAAUAAUAACAAGGUGUUUAUUUUUAGAAAAUAUAAUUUUUUUAGCAAUUUCAAUUUGACAAAGUAAAUUGAUUUGUUUACUCAUUUGUGUAUGGAAAAAUAUUGUUAGAUAAAAAUUU
Molecule: long non-coding RNA, 720 nt
Organism: Episyrphus balteatus (marmalade hoverfly)
Lineage: Eukaryota; Metazoa; Arthropoda; Insecta; Diptera; Syrphidae
Exons: 3
Source: RefSeq, a predicted model, not a curated record